AAUCAACGCUGGCGGCGUGCCUAACACAUGCAAGUCGAACGCGAAAGUCCCGCAAGGGAUGAGUAGAGUGGCAAACGGGUGAGUAACGCGUGGGUGACCUGCCUUCGAGCGGGGGAUAACGCUCCGAAAGGGACGCUAAUACCGCACAACAUCCCGCCUUUGAACAGGCGGAAAUCAAAGCUGGGGAUCGCAAGACCCAGCACUUGAAGAGGGGCCCGCGUCUGAUUAGCUAGUUGGUGAGGUAACGGCUCACCAAGGCGACGAUCAGUAUCCGGCCUGAGGAGGGCGGACGGACACACUGGGACUGAGACACGGCCCAGACUCCUACGGGAGGCAGCAGUGGGGAAUUGUUCGCAAUGGGCGCAAGCCUGACGACGCAACGCCGCGUGGAGGAUGAAGACCUUC
Molecule: ribosomal RNA, 405 nt
Filed under: uncultured bacterium
Lineage: Bacteria
Description: bacterial SSU rRNA
Rfam family: Bacterial small subunit ribosomal RNA
Source: RNAcentral